AUAAUAUUAAAAGGCCAAUAAAGAUUGUUGUUUACAAAAUUUAGCAUAAAUUAAACAAAAAUGAAAAUAAUGUUAAUAAAAAUUAAAUAUAUAAUAUUUAUUUACAAACCAAGAUUAUAGAGAGAAUCUGAGAAACUUGAACAAAAAUUCAGCUUCUACGUCUAAAAAAAAGGCCCAAACUUCGUCUUUAAUUUGUAUCGUAAUUAUCCACAACUUUAUUUAUCCACUUAUGUGUUUUCCUGUAGGUGCAUUUUUUUUAUGAAUCGUACCAUCUUAUAAAUAUCGAGACAUUAUCUCAGCUGUAAGGUCAUGACCUUUGUUGUCAUAGCAGUGAGUAGUGUUUUAUGCUUUGAUUCGAAUUUUUGCACGAGAUGUUCCGUGUAAUUGUUUAAGAUAAGCCGCAUUUCCGGGUGAAUGGUUUUAAGGGCACGAGGUGUUUGUUUUAAAAAGUGAACAUAUUUUCUGCACAUAUAACAUGAAAUAAUUAUUCACCUUCGACCAGAGACGUUAGUAACGUGACGUUGGCGGCUUUGCGUCUUCCAGCAGAAUAGAAACGGAGGCUCGUGACGUGAUUGAAGAACAGCGGCUGCAAACAGCACGAGCGCGCGGCUGCGGCCGCCGUCCUACCUUCUCAACACGCCCCCCAACAAGGAGGCGUUGAGGCACUCGGGCGGGGACAGUCUCCUCUGCACCUCCCCUACGGUCACUUUGUACUUGGACGUGGAGCUGAGCAGCGACAGGCGGCCCGGUACCGAGCAGAACACCUCGUUGAUGUUGACGGUCACGCCGCCGAUCAGCCCGUCCUUGCCGAGCAUCAGGGAGCCCAUGUUCUUGGGCGGCAUGGGAACUGGAAGAGGAAGAUUGAUCCAGGAUGUUCGUUCCGUUCGUGUCUUCAAUGGUCUGUUAAAACACAAUUAAAUACAUAUAAUUAUGGUCAGAUUUAUGCAGAUCAUAUUAAUAUUGUGACAAUGCAAUAACCAUAAUGAGCAUCUGUUUAUAUUAUUUUUCAACGUCACCAUAAAUAAAUCUACAGAAUUAAUUCUAGUUGCAACCGCAUAGAAAUAAUCGUCGUUAGUUGUUUUGUAUCCACGUGUUAAUCACAUCUAGUUCUUUAUUAUCAUGGAUUGUCGUGAAGAAUCCAGUCUUUCACAUUUUUAGCCUCUGUCUUUAAUCCCUUUCAUCAAAUAACUCCCUUUUUAAAUAAUCCCAAAUGUCAUCGACGAAUCACUCCACUUUAAAAAGGGGAACGCAAAGAAUAUUUGUUCAAACACAAUUCUUUGGGGUUAAUAAAUGUAUGACUCAAACACGAAAACCAGAAAUGAGAAUGUGUUGUUGAGGUUAAAUGGCAAGUAAAUCGUGA
Betta splendens (Siamese fighting fish) is the source of this 1360-nucleotide long non-coding RNA. RefSeq lists it as uncharacterized. The record is from RefSeq and is a predicted model, not a curated record. The transcript is spliced from 3 exons. Lineage: Eukaryota; Metazoa; Chordata; Actinopteri; Anabantiformes; Osphronemidae.